GGAUGAACGCUAGCGGCAGGCUUAAUACAUGCAAGUCGAGGGGCAGCAUGGUGUAGCAAUACACUGAUGGCGACCGGCAAACGGGUGCGGAACACGUACGCAACCUUCCCAAAACUGGUGAAUAGCCCUCCGAAAGGAGGAUUAAUACACCGUAACAUAUAGAUGUGGCAUCACAACUAUAUUAUAGUUUUAAUGGUUUUGGAUGGGCGUGCGCCUGAUUAGGUAGUUGGCGGGGUAACGGCCCACCAAGCCUGCGAUCAGUAACUGGUGUGAGAGCACGACCAGUCACACGGGCACUGAGACACGGGCCCGACUCCUACGGGAGGCAGCAGUAAGGAAUAUUGGUCAAUGGACGAAAGUCUGAACCAGCCAUGCCGCGUGAAGGAUGAAGGCCCUCUGGGUUGUAAACUUCUUUUAUCUGGGACGAAAAAAGAUCAUUCUUGAUCACUUGACGGUACCAGAGGAAUAAGCACCGGCUAACUCCGUGCCAGCAGCCGCGGUAAUACGGAGGGUGCAAGCGUUAUCCGGAUUCACUGGGUUUAAAGGGAGCGUAGGUGGGCAGGUAAGUCAGUGGUGAAAUCUCCGAGCUUAACUCGGAAACUGCCAUUGAUACUAUUUGUCUUGAAUAUUCUGGAGGUAAGCGGAAUAUGUCAUGUAGCGGUGAAAUGCUUAGAUAUGACAUAGAACACCAAUUGCGAAGGCAGCUUGCUACGGAAUUAUUGACACUGAGGCUCGAAAGCGUGGGGAUCAAACAGGAUUAGAUACCCUGGUAGUCCACGCCCUAAACGAUGGAUACUCGACAUCAGCGAUACACUGUUGGUGUCUGAGCGAAAG
RNAcentral lists this ribosomal RNA (834 nucleotides) under uncultured bacterium. RNAcentral's name for it is "bacterial SSU rRNA". It matches the Rfam family "Bacterial small subunit ribosomal RNA", at positions 27 to 857 of the family's 1533-position model. The record is from RNAcentral.